This 455-nucleotide ribosomal RNA is filed under the name uncultured Methanosaeta sp. RNAcentral describes it as "bacterial SSU rRNA". It matches the Rfam family "Archaeal small subunit ribosomal RNA", at positions 883 to 1338 of the family's 1478-position model. The record is from RNAcentral. Lineage: Archaea; Methanobacteriati; Methanobacteriota; Methanomicrobia; Methanotrichales; Methanotrichaceae.
AACGGUGGAGCUUGCGGUUUAAUUGGAUUCAACGCCGGAAAUCUUACCGGGACCGACAGCAAUAUGAAGGCCAGGCUGAAGACUUUGCCGGAUUAGCUGAGAGGUGGUGCAUGGCCGUCGUCAGUUCGUACUGUGAAGCAUCCUGUUAAGUCAGGCAACGAGCGAGACCCACGCCCACAGUUGCCAGCGUACUCUCUGGAGUGACGGGUACACUGUGGGGACCGCCGCUGCUAAAGCGGAGGAAGGAAUGGGCAACGGUAGGUCAGUAUGCCCCGAAUAUCCCGGGCUACACGCGAGCUACAAUGGUUGGUACAAUGGGUAUCUACCCCGAAAGGGGACGGGAAUCUCCUAAAACCAAUCUUAGUUCGGAUUGAGGGCUGCAACUCGCCCUCAUGAAGCUGGAAUCCGUAGUAAUCGCGUUUCAACAGAACGCGGUGAAUACGUCCCUGCUCCUU